AGUGGACGCUGGCGGUAGGCCUAACACAUGCAAGUCGAACGGCAGCACAGUAAGAGCUUGCUCUUACGGGUGGCGAGUGGCGGACGGGUGAGGAAUACAUCGGAAUCUACUUUUUCGUGGGGGAUAACGUAGGGAAACUUACGCUAAUACCGCAUACGACCUACGGGUGAAAGCAGGGGAUCUUCGGACCUUGCGCGAUUGAAUGAGCCGAUGUCGGAUUAGCUAGUUGGCGGGGUAAAGGCCCACCAAGGCGACGAUCCGUAGCUGGUCUGAGAGGAUGAUCAGCCACACUGGAACUGAGACACGGUCCAGACUCCUACGGGAGGCAGCAGUGGGGAAUAUUGGACAAUGGGUGCAAGCCUGAUCCAGCCAUACCGCGUGGGUGAAGAAGGCCUUCGGGUUGUAAAGCCCUUUUGUUGGGAAAGAAAAGCAGCAGGUUAAUACCCCGCUGUUCUGACGGUACCCAAAGAAUAAGCACCGGCUAACUUCGUG
Molecule: ribosomal RNA, 492 nt
Filed under: uncultured bacterium
Lineage: Bacteria
Description: partial 16S ribosomal RNA
Rfam family: Bacterial small subunit ribosomal RNA
Source: RNAcentral